This 459-nucleotide ribosomal RNA is filed under the name uncultured bacterium. RNAcentral's name for it is "bacterial SSU rRNA". It matches the Rfam family "Bacterial small subunit ribosomal RNA", at positions 8 to 467 of the family's 1533-position model. The record is from RNAcentral.
AGAGUUUGAUCCUGGCUCAGAUUGAACGCUGGCGGAAUGCUUUACACAUGCAAGUCGAACGGCAGCACGGGGGCAACCCUGGUGGCGAGUGGCGAACGGGUGAGUAAUACAUCGGAACGUGCCCAGUCGUGGGGGAUAACGCAGCGAAAGCUGUGCUAAUACCGCAUACGAUCUACGGAUGAAAGCGGGGGACUCGCAAGGGCCUCGCGCGAUUGGAGCGGCCGAUGGCAGAUUAGGUAGUUGGUGGGGUAAAGGCUCACCAAGCCUGCGAUCUGUAGCUGGUCUGAGAGGACGACCAGCCACACUGGGACUGAGACACGGCCCAGACUCCUACGGGAGGCAGCAGUGGGGAAUUUUGGACAAUGGGCGCAAGCCUGAUCCAGCCAUUCCGCGUGCAGGAUGAAGGCCUUCGGGUUGUAAACUGCUUUUGUACGGAACGAAAAGGCUUCCUUCUAAUAC